RNAcentral lists this ribosomal RNA (2916 nucleotides) under Staphylococcus warneri. RNAcentral describes it as "Bacterial large subunit ribosomal RNA". It matches the Rfam family "Bacterial large subunit ribosomal RNA". The record is from RNAcentral. Lineage: Bacteria; Bacillati; Bacillota; Bacilli; Caryophanales; Staphylococcaceae.
UUAAGUUAUUAAGGGCGCACGGUGGAUGCCUUGGCACUAGAAGCCGAUGAAGGACGUUACUAACGACGAUAUGCUUUGGGGAGCUGUAAGUAAGCGUUGAUCCAGAGAUUUCCGAAUGGGGAAACCCAGCAUGAGUUAUGUCAUGUUAUCGAUAUGUGAAUACAUAGCAUAUCAGAAGGCAGACCCGGAGAACUGAAACAUCUUAGUACCCGGAGGAAGAGAAAGAAAAAUCGAUUCCCUGAGUAGCGGCGAGCGAAACGGGAAGAGCCCAAACCAACAAGCUUGCUUGUUGGGGUUGUAGGACACUCUAUACGGAGUUACAAAAGUAUAUAUUAGACGAAUCAUCUGGAAAGUUGAAUCAAAGAAGGUAAUAAUCCUGUAGUCGAAAAUAUAUACUCUCUUGAGUGGAUCCUGAGUACGACGGAGCACGUGAAAUUCCGUCGGAAUCUGGGAGGACCAUCUCCUAAGGCUAAAUACUCUCUAGUGACCGAUAGUGAACCAGUACCGUGAGGGAAAGGUGAAAAGUACCCCGGAAGGGGAGUGAAAGAGAACUUGAAACCGUGUGCUUACAAGUAGUCAGAGCCCGUUAAUGGGUGAUGGCGUGCCUUUUGUAGAAUGAACCGGCGAGUUACGAUUUGAUGCAAGGUUAAGCAGCUAAUGUGGAGCCGUAGCGAAAGCGAGUCUGAAUAGGGCGUUUAGUAUUUGGUCGUAGACCCGAAACCAGGUGAUCUACCCUUGGUCAGGUUGAAGUUCAGGUAACACUGAAUGGAGGACCGAACCGACUUACGUUGAAAAGUGAGCGGAUGAACUGAGGGUAGCGGAGAAAUUCCAAUCGAACUUGGAGAUAGCUGGUUCUCUCCGAAAUAGCUUUAGGGCUAGCCUCAAGUGAUGAUUAUUGGAGGUAGAGCACUGUUUGGACGAGGGGCCCUUCUCGGGUUACCGAAUUCAGACAAACUCCGAAUGCCAAUCAAUUUAACUUGGGAGUCAGAACAUGGGUGAUAAGGUCCGUGUUCGAAAGGGAAACAGCCCAGACCACCAGCUAAGGUCCCAAAAUAUAUGUUAAGUGGAAAAGGAUGUGGCGUUGCCCAGACAACUAGGAUGUUGGCUUAGAAGCAGCCAUCAUUUAAAGAGUGCGUAAUAGCUCACUAGUCGAGUGACACUGCGCCGAAAAUGUACCGGGGCUAAACAUAUUACCGAAGCUGUGGAUUGUCCGUAGGACAAUGGUAGGAGAGCGUUCUAAGGGCGUCGAAGCAUGAUCGCAAGGACAUGUGGAGCGCUUAGAAGUGAGAAUGCCGGUGUGAGUAGCGAAAGACGGGUGAGAAUCCCGUCCACCGAUUGACUAAGGUUUCCAGAGGAAGGCUCGUCCGCUCUGGGUUAGUCGGGUCCUAAGCUGAGGCCGACAGGCGUAGGCGAUGGAUAACAGGUUGAUAUUCCUGUACCACCUAGUAUCGUUUUAAUCGAUGGGGGGACGCAGUAGGAUAGGCGAAGCGUGCUAUUGGAUUGCACGUCCAAGCAGUAAGACUGAGUGUUAGGCAAAUCCGGCACUCAUAAGGUCAAGCUGUGAUGGGGAGAGGAAAUUGUUUCCUCGAGUCGUUGAUUUCACACUGCCAAGAAAAGCCUCUAGAUAGAUAACAGGUGCCCGUACCGCAAACCGACACAGGUAGUCAAGAUGAGAAUUCUAAGGUGAGCGAGCGAACUCUCGUUAAGGAACUCGGCAAAAUGACCCCGUAACUUCGGGAGAAGGGGUGCUCUUUAGGGUUAACGCCCAGAAGAGCCGCAGUGAAUAGGCCCAAGCGACUGUUUAUCAAAAACACAGGUCUCUGCUAAACCGUAAGGUGAUGUAUAGGGGCUGACGCCUGCCCGGUGCUGGAAGGUUAAGAGGAGUAGUUAGCUUCUGCGAAGCUACGAAUCGAAGCCCCAGUAAACGGCGGCCGUAACUAUAACGGUCCUAAGGUAGCGAAAUUCCUUGUCGGGUAAGUUCCGACCCGCACGAAAGGCGUAACGAUUUGGGCACUGUCUCAACGAGAGACUCGGUGAAAUCAUAGUACCUGUGAAGAUGCAGGUUACCCGCGACAGGACGGAAAGACCCCGUGGAGCUUUACUGUAGCCUGAUAUUGAAAUUCGGCACAGCUUGUACAGGAUAGGUAGGAGCCUUUGAAACGUGAGCGCUAGCUUACGUGGAGGCAUUGGUGGGAUACUACCCUAGCUGUGUUGGCUUUCUAACCCGCACCACUUAUCGUGGUGGGAGACAGUGUCAGGUGGGCAGUUUGACUGGGGCGGUCGCCUCCUAAAAGGUAACGGAGGCGCUCAAAGGUUCCCUCAGAAUGGUUGGAAAUCAUUCAUAGAGUGUAAAGGCAUAAGGGAGCUUGACUGCGAGACUUACAAGUCGAGCAGGGUCGAAAGACGGACUUAGUGAUCCGGUGGUUCCGCAUGGAAGGGCCAUCGCUCAACGGAUAAAAGCUACCCCGGGGAUAACAGGCUUAUCUCCCCCAAGAGUUCACAUCGACGGGGAGGUUUGGCACCUCGAUGUCGGCUCAUCGCAUCCUGGGGCUGUAGUCGGUCCCAAGGGUUGGGCUGUUCGCCCAUUAAAGCGGUACGCGAGCUGGGUUCAGAACGUCGUGAGACAGUUCGGUCCCUAUCCGUCGUGGGCGUAGGAAAUUUGAGAGGAGCUGUCCUUAGUACGAGAGGACCGGGAUGGACAUACCUCUGGUGUACCAGUUGUCGUGCCAACGGCAUAGCUGGGUAGCUAUGUAUGGACGGGAUAAGUGCUGAAAGCAUCUAAGCAUGAAGCCCCCCUCAAGAUGAGAUUUCCCAACUUCGGUUAUAAGAUCCCUCAAAGAUGAUGAGGUUAAUAGGUUCGAGGUGGAAGCGUGGUGACACGUGGAGCUGACGAAUACUAAUCGAUCGAAGACUUAA